UGUUGGCUUUCAUCCAGCCAUGAGGAGUUAGAAGGUGGUAAGUAUGCUUUGGCAAUCAGAUUGUUUAUUCUUCUCCCCUGACUCACUUUUUCCCAGUUUCAGAAAGUUAAACUAAUUUAUUAUCUCAAAUUGGAUUUCUUGGGAGAAUUUAAGAUUUAGGAGGAAAAAUGCCAGUUGUCAGAGGAAGAAUUGUAAAGUUCUUUUCCUAAAACAUGCAUCAUUUACAAAAUGGAUUUGCAUAUUCUCAGUAUUGUUGGGACAGUAACAUUUGGAAACAGUCAUUUCCACAGAAGAGCUUUGAGCCUGAUAUCCAGUGGGGGGUCAUUUCUGACUCUGAAAAUGAGUAUAGCUCAGGAGGCCCAGGUGCUGGGGAGUGACGCCAUCAGCUCCACUGCAGGCCUGCUUGUUAUUUCCAGCCGCAUAUCACACCUGUGAAAGGGAAAGAUUCUUCCC
This 453-nucleotide long non-coding RNA is filed under the name Homo sapiens (human). RNAcentral describes it as "HSALNT0169318". Lineage: Eukaryota; Metazoa; Chordata; Mammalia; Primates; Hominidae. The record is from RNAcentral.